GUCCUUUUGAGWAUAAUUUAAGGUCUGACCUGCCCAAUGAAUAAUUAAAUGGCCGCAGUAUUUUGACUGUGCAAAGGUAGCAUAAUCAUUAGUUUUUUAAUUAAAAGCUGGAAUGAAUGGUUUGAUAAAAGAAAAUCUGUCUUAAUUUAAAUUUUUUAGAAUUUUAUUUUUAAGUUAAAAAGCUUAAAUAUAGUUAAAAGACGAGAAGACCCUAUAGAGUUUAAUAUACGGUUAUUUUUUAAAAUUAAAGAAUUCAAUUUUUAAAAUUAAAUUGUAUAUUUAAUUGGGGUGAUUGUAAAAUUAAAAUAACUUUUAUUUUAUUAAAACAUUAAUUUAUGAAUAAUUGAUCCUAAAAUUUAGAUUAUAAGAAAAAAUUACCUUAGGGAUAACAGCGUAAUAUUUUUUUAGAGUUCUUAUCGAAAAAAAAGAUUGCGACCUCGAUGUUGGAUUAAAAUUAAUAUUUGGUGUAGAAGCUAAAAUAUUAGGUCUGUUCGACCUUUAAAAUUUUACA
Molecule: ribosomal RNA, 511 nt
Filed under: Philothermopsis sp. CO925
Lineage: Eukaryota; Metazoa; Arthropoda; Insecta; Coleoptera; Cerylonidae
Description: partial 16S ribosomal RNA
Rfam family: Archaeal large subunit ribosomal RNA (bases 385-511)
Source: RNAcentral